RNAcentral lists this unclassified non-coding RNA (320 nucleotides) under plant metagenome. Its description in RNAcentral is "partial contains 5.8S ribosomal RNA, internal transcribed spacer 2, and large subunit ribosomal RNA". The stretch from base 1 to 105 matches the Rfam family "5.8S ribosomal RNA", at positions 50 to 154 of the family's 154-position model. The record is from RNAcentral.
GAAAUGCGAUAAGUAAUGUGAAUUGCAGAAUUCAGUGAAUCAUCGAGUCUUUGAACGCACAUUGCGCCCGCCAGUAUUCUGGCGGGCAUGCCUGUUCGAGCGUCAUUACAACCCUCAGGCCCCCGGGCCUGGCGUUGGGGAUCGGCGGAAGCCCCCUGCGGGCACAACGCCGUCCCCCAAAUACAGUGGCGGUCCCGCCGCAGCUUCCAUUGCGUAGUAGCUAACACCUCGCAACUGGAGAGCGGCGCGGCCACGCCGUAAAACACCCAACUUCUGAAUGUUGACCUCGAAUCAGGUAGGAAUACCCGCUGAACUUAAGC